Long non-coding RNA from Oncorhynchus tshawytscha (Chinook salmon), 811 nucleotides. The record is from Ensembl. NCBI's taxonomy places the organism in Eukaryota, Metazoa, Chordata, Actinopteri, Salmoniformes, Salmonidae.
AAAUGUUUAAGCCUAUCCCCAUUCUCUUUCUGCCCGUUUAUCCUUUUUUUGUUUGUUACUGGGCAACCAGUAGGAUCCUUUCUAUAGAGGCCAUCUUGGAUUCGAUAUGGCUGGUAUUGCUGGUAUUUCCCCACCCAAAAGAGGACCUGAGCCCUAGGACCAUGCCUCAGGACUACCUGGCAUGAUGACUCCUUGCUGUCCCCAGUCCACCUGGCCGUGCUACUGCUCCAGUUUCAACUGUUCUGCCUGUGAUUAUUAUUAUUUGACCAUGCUGGUCAUUUAUGAACAUUUGAACAUCUUGGCCAUGUUCUGUUAUAAUCUCCACCCGGCACAGCCAGAAGAGGACUGGCCACCCCACAUAGCCUGGUUCCUCUCUAGGUUUCUUCCUAGGUUUUGGCCUUUCUAGGGAGUUUUCCUAGCCACUGUGCUUCUACACCUGCAUUGCUUGCUGUUUGGGGUUUUAGACUGGGUUUCUGUACAGCACUUUGAUAUAUCAGCUGAUGUAAGAAGGGCUAUAUAAAUACAUUUGAUUUGAUUUGACUGUGUUCUUGGGGACCUUCAAUGCUGCAGAAAUGUUUUGGUACCCUUCCCCAGAUCUGUGCCUCAACACAAUCCUGUCUCGGAGCUCUACGGACAAUUCCUUCAACCUUAUGGCUUGGUUUUUACUCUGACAUAACCUGUUAACUGUGGGACCUUAUAUAGACAGGUAUGUGCCUUAGCAAAUCAUGUCAAACCAAUUGAAUUUACCACAGGUGGACUCCAAUCAAGUUGUAGAAACAUCUAAAGGAUAAUCAAUAGAAACAGUAUGCAC